CCUACGGGAGGCAGCAGUGAGGAAUAUUGGUCAAUGGACGAGAGUCUGAACCAGCCAAGUAGCGUGAAGGAUGACUGCCCUAUGGGUUGUAAACUUCUUUUAUAUGGGAAUAAAAUGUUCCACGUGUGGGAUUUUGUAUGUACCAUAUGAAUAAGGAUCGGCUAACUCCGUGCCAGCAGCCGCGGUAAUACGGGGGAUCCGAGCGUUAUCCGGAUUUAUUGGGUUUAAAGGGAGCGUAGGUGGAUUGUUAAGUCAGUUGUGAAAGUUUGCGGCUCAACCGUAAAAUUGCAGUUGAAACUAGCAGUCUUGAGUACAGUAGAGGUGGGCGGAAUUCGUGGUGUAGCGGUGAAAUGCUUAGAUAUCACGAAGAACUCCGAUUGCGAAGGCAGUUCACUGGACUGCAACUGACACUGAGGCUCGAAAGUGUGGGUAUCAAACAGGAUUAGAUACCCGAGUAGUC
This 460-nucleotide ribosomal RNA is filed under the name uncultured bacterium. RNAcentral's name for it is "partial 16S ribosomal RNA". It matches the Rfam family "Bacterial small subunit ribosomal RNA", at positions 338 to 795 of the family's 1533-position model. The record is from RNAcentral.